Molecule: regulatory RNA element, 116 nt
Organism: Johnsonella ignava ATCC 51276
Lineage: Bacteria; Bacillati; Bacillota; Clostridia; Lachnospirales; Lachnospiraceae
Rfam family: FMN riboswitch aptamer (RFN element)
About the family: The RFN element is a highly conserved domain that is found frequently in the 5'-untranslated regions of prokaryotic mRNAs that encode for flavin mononucleotide (FMN) biosynthesis and transport proteins. This element is a metabolite-dependent riboswitch that directly binds FMN in the absence of proteins.
Source: Rfam
AGCUAUCUUCAGGGCAGGAUGAAAUUUCCUACCGGUGGUACAGCCCACGAGCCGUAAGGCAUGAUUUGGUGAAAUUCCAAAGCCGACAGUUAAAGUCUGGAUGAAAGAAGAUAAAG